Molecule: ribosomal RNA, 253 nt
Filed under: uncultured bacterium
Lineage: Bacteria
Description: partial 16S ribosomal RNA
Rfam family: Bacterial small subunit ribosomal RNA
Source: RNAcentral
UACGGAGGGUGCAAGCGUUAUCCGGAUUCACUGGGUUUAAAGGGUGCGUAGGAGGUCAGGUAAGUCAGUGGUGAAAUCUCCGAGCUUAACUUGGAAACUGCCGUUGAUACUAUCUGCCUUGAAUAUUGUGGAGGUGAGCGGAAUAUGUCAUGUAGCGGUGAAAUGCUUAGAUAUGACAUAGAACACCAAUUGCGAAGGCAGCUGACUAGACCUGGAUUGACGCUGAGGCGCGAAAGCGUGGGGAGCGAACAGG